This 304-nucleotide ribosomal RNA is filed under the name Salmonella enterica subsp. enterica. RNAcentral's name for it is "partial 23S ribosomal RNA". It matches the Rfam family "Bacterial large subunit ribosomal RNA", at positions 2434 to 2737 of the family's 2925-position model. The record is from RNAcentral. RNAcentral also lists the same sequence under 1 other name. Lineage: Bacteria; Pseudomonadati; Pseudomonadota; Gammaproteobacteria; Enterobacterales; Enterobacteriaceae.
UGGAAGGGCCAUCGCUCAACGGAUAAAAGGUACUCCGGGGAUAACAGGCUGAUACCGCCCAAGAGUUCAUAUCGACGGCGGUGUUUGGCACCUCGAUGUCGGCUCAUCACAUCCUGGGGCUGAAGUAGGUCCCAAGGGUAUGGCUGUUCGCCAUUUAAAGUGGUACGCGAGCUGGGUUUAGAACGUCGUGAGACAGUUCGGUCCCUAUCUGCCGUGGGCGCUGGAGAACUGAGGGGGGCUGCUCCUAGUACGAGAGGACCGGAGUGGACGCAUCACUGGUGUUCGGGUUGUCAUGCCAAUGGCA